GUGAACCAGUACCGUGAGGGAAAGGCGAAAAGAACCCCGGCGAGGGGAGUGAAAAAGAACCUGAAACCGUGUACGUACAAGCAGUGGGAGCCCCACCACUAAGCCAGUGGUGAACUCCACAUACGCAUCCUUUGCUGAGGAUACGGUUAACGGAGCGAAAGCGACGUUCAACCGCAAAAGAAGCAGAGGGGGCUUAGUGGUGGGGUGACUGCGUACCUUUUGUAUAAUGGGUCAGCGACUUAUAUUCUGUAGCAAGGUUAACCGUAUAGGGGAGCCGUAGGGAAACCGAGUCUUAACCGGGCGUUAAGUUGCAGGGUAUAGACCCGAAACCCGGUGAUCUAGCCAUGGGCAGGUUGAAGGUUGGGUAACACUAACUGGAGGACCGAACC
This 389-nucleotide ribosomal RNA is filed under the name Salmonella enterica subsp. enterica serovar Gatineau. RNAcentral describes it as "partial 23S ribosomal RNA". It matches the Rfam family "Bacterial large subunit ribosomal RNA", at positions 490 to 780 of the family's 2925-position model. The record is from RNAcentral. Lineage: Bacteria; Pseudomonadati; Pseudomonadota; Gammaproteobacteria; Enterobacterales; Enterobacteriaceae.